This is a non-coding RNA of Candidatus Burkholderia pumila, 117 nucleotides long. The record is from Rfam. NCBI's taxonomy places the organism in Bacteria, Pseudomonadati, Pseudomonadota, Betaproteobacteria, Burkholderiales, Burkholderiaceae.
AGGCUAACCGGAUAAAAGGCGUUGCCGAACAGGGCGAGCGGGCAUGUAACCGCGAAGCUCUCGCGCUUAAGGGUCAGGCGGCGUAGAUGCGGCGGUUGUGCGAUGAAGGAGUGGGUU